This 439-nucleotide ribosomal RNA is filed under the name Tannerella forsythia. Its description in RNAcentral is "bacterial SSU rRNA". It matches the Rfam family "Bacterial small subunit ribosomal RNA", at positions 28 to 462 of the family's 1533-position model. Lineage: Bacteria; Pseudomonadati; Bacteroidota; Bacteroidia; Bacteroidales; Tannerellaceae. The record is from RNAcentral.
GAUGAACGCUAGCGAUAGGCUUAACACAUGCAAGUCGAGGGGCAUCGAGGGUAGCAAUACCUGUCGGCGACCGGCGCACGGGUGAGUAACGCGUAUGUAACCUGCCCGCAACAGAGGGAUAACCCGGCGAAAGUCGGACUAAUACCUCAUAAAACAGGGGUUCCGCAUGGGGCUAUUUGUUAAAGAUUUAUUGGUUGCGGAUGGGCAUGCGUACCAUUAGGUAGUUGGUGAGGUAACGGCUCACCAAGCCAUCGAUGGUUAGGGGUUCUGAGAGGAAGGUCCCCCACACUGGUACUGAGACACGGACCAGACUCCUACGGGAGGCAGCAGUGAGGAAUAUUGGUCAAUGGGCGAGAGCCUGAACCAGCCAAGUCGCGUGAAGGAUGACUGCCCUAUGGGUUGUAAACUUCUUUUACAGGGGAAUAAAAUGAGAUACGUG